RNAcentral lists this non-coding RNA (65 nucleotides) under Mucilaginibacter sp. Its description in RNAcentral is "Fluoride sequence". It matches the Rfam family "Fluoride riboswitch aptamer (crcB RNA motif)". The record is from RNAcentral. Lineage: Bacteria; Pseudomonadati; Bacteroidota; Sphingobacteriia; Sphingobacteriales; Sphingobacteriaceae.
UAAAAACAAGGCAAUGGUGUUCUGCCUAUUUGAACCGCUGCAAAGCUGAUGACGCCUACCCAAAU